This 301-nucleotide long non-coding RNA is filed under the name Parus major (Great Tit). RNAcentral's name for it is "lncRNA (ENSPMJG00000013552.1)". The record is from RNAcentral. Lineage: Eukaryota; Metazoa; Chordata; Aves; Passeriformes; Paridae.
CUUAUUUCAUCAAUAAUUCCACAACUAUAUAGUACUUUGCAAUGUCAGACAUCUUUGUAGAAAAAUCUAGACAUUAGUUAAUCAUAUGAAAGCUUUUCAUAUUUUUCAUAUUUUUUUUUUAGAUUACUUACUUGUUUGUGAAAGACUAAAUUCAACAGAUUCCACAGAUUUUAAUCUUCUUUGAGUCAGGUGUGAACAAAUGCCCCUGAGGGGUGCUAAAAUGCACCACAUGGUGGGAAGUAUUUGUUUUUCACAUUGGAAAACAAGAUGCAGAUGCACUUGGAUGAAGGAUCAAGUCUGA